GAUGAACGCUGGCGGCGUGCUUAACACAUGCAAGUCGAACGAAGCACUUUAUUUGAUUUCCUUCGGGACUGAUUAUUUUGUGACUGAGUGGCGGACGGGUGAGUAACGCGUGGGUACCCUGCCUUGUACAGGGGGAUAACAGUUGGAAACGGCUGCUAAUACCGCAUAAGCGCACAGCAUCGCAUGAUGCCGUGUGAAAAACUCCGGUGGUAUAAGAUGGACCCGCGUUGGAUUAGCUAGUUGGUGAGGUAACGGCCCACCAAGGCGACGAUCCAUAGCCGACCUGAGAGGGUGACCGGCCACAUUGUGACUGAGACACGGCCCAAACUCCUACGGGAGGCAGCAGUGGGGAAUAUUGCACAAUGGGCGAAAGCCUGAUGCAGCGACGCCGCGUGAGCGAAGAAGUAUUUCGGUAUGUAAAGCUCUAUCAGCAGGGAAGAUAAUGACGGUACCUGACUAAGAAGCACCGGCUAAAUACGUG
Molecule: ribosomal RNA, 481 nt
Filed under: uncultured bacterium
Lineage: Bacteria
Description: partial 16S ribosomal RNA
Rfam family: Bacterial small subunit ribosomal RNA
Source: RNAcentral